This 3119-nucleotide long non-coding RNA is filed under the name Scleropages formosus (Asian bonytongue). RNAcentral describes it as "lncRNA (ENSSFOG00015029922.1)". The record is from RNAcentral. Lineage: Eukaryota; Metazoa; Chordata; Actinopteri; Osteoglossiformes; Osteoglossidae.
CGCCGUGCUUUUCCAUGCGGUGGCAUUGGUAUACUGUUUAUUAAUUACUCAUACGGGGGGGGGGAGUCUGGAGCCCGUCAACGAAGUGAUCAGUUCGCUACCUAGAAUUCCAUUUUAGGGAGGGUCGAGGAUUGUCUGGUUUUGGGCGCAAGGCGAUGAGCGAUUGGAACUCAGUCCUGUGGUCAGUGGUGUCACGCAGACAUCCGUCUCUGCGCGCUUCUGUCGGGAUAACGCAGCUGACACGCGCGGAUGCUCCGGCAAAUGAAAAGAAAACGGGCUCCGAAACUUUCCAGGAUUUUCCCAAUGCGUUGGGGAGACACAUCAUCAUGAUGACCGUGUAUUUCAGCCGUUCUGAUGCAACGGGCCGUGCUCCGCCUUGUUGGACACAAUAAUAUAAGAACGCUCUUCUCCUUCUAAAGGACGUCGUGUUGCAAUCUCGAUCACGGGAUCAGAGGAUUACCGAAGUGGGAGACCGCGUUAACAUCAACUUCAGGACUGCUGGUAAGGCAGGCGGGGCGGGGGGGGAGGAGGCUGCAAUGUGGCCGCGUAGUGACCCAACUCCAGCAGCCACCAGCGAGUGUCCGCGCCGCGCUCCUCUCUCUCCCGUGCUGGACAGAACCCUCUCCCUGAGCCCGAGGCGACGGGUACGAGAUGUGCCGAGCAUGCUUCACAUCCCCAGUGACUCGUGGUGGUGGACCGGCCUUCCUGCGGGACCGGUAUGAGCCCGACACUGAGGCUGGGAAAGAGGAGCUGGUGACUCAGGCCCGGCCCUGGGCCAGGGUUUGGGGAAGGGAAUGCGGGGAAUUACCCAUUGUGGAAGCUCAUAUUGCCACGGACAGGAAGCAAUGCUUGCCUGCAUCCCUUGGUACUGUUGUUCUCACUACAAUUCCCUUAAGUAGCUUUCCUCAUGCUACUGUUACUCUCACUACAUUUUGUGUCACAAGUGUUACUCCCUGUACCUUUCCUCUCAGUAUUGCGACCCCCUGUACAGUUGCUCUCGUUGUUGUUCCCCUCUGUCCCAUUUCUCUUUACCCUAACUACCAUAGUCCUCUCAGCAGCGUUACCUCAUUACCAUAUUCCUGUCAGCAGCGUUACCCUCAUUACCAUAUUCCUGUCAGCAGCGUUACCCUCACUACCAUAUUCCUGUCAGCAGCGUUACCUCACUACCAUAUUCCUGUCAGCAGUGUUACCUCACUACCAUAUUCCUCAGCAGCGUUACCUCACUACCAUAUUCCUGUCAGCAGCAUUACCUCACUACCAUAUUCCUCAGGAGCGUUACCUCACUACCAUAUUCCUGUCAGCAGCGUUACCUCGCUACCAUAUUCCUGUCAGCAGCGUUACCUCACUACCAUAUUCCAGUCAGCAGCGUUAUUUCGCUACCAUAUUCCUCAGCAGCGUUACCUCACUACCAUAUUCCUGUCAGCAGCAUUACCUCACUACCAUAUUCCUGUCAGCAGCGUUACCUCACUACCAUAUUCCUGUCAACAGCAUUACCUCACUACCAUAUUCCUCAGGAGUGUUACCUCACUACCAUAUUCCUGUCAGCAGCAUUACCUCACUACCAUAUUCCUGUCAGCAGUGUUACCUCACUACCAUAUUCCUGUCAGCAGCGCUACCUCACUACCAUAUUCCUGUCAGCAGUGUUACCUCACUACCAUAUUCCUGUCAGCAGUGUUACCUCACUACCAUAUUCCUGUCAGCAGCAUUACCUCACUACCAUAUUCCUCAGGAGCGUUACCUCACUACCAUAUUCCUGUCAGCAGCGUUACCUCACUACCAUAUUCCUCAGCAGCGUUACCUCACUACCAUAUUCCAGUCAGCAGCGUUAUUUCGCUACCAUAUUCCUCAGCAGCGUUACCUCACUACCAUAUUCCUGUCAGCAGCAUUACCUCACUACCAUAUUCCUGUCAGCAGCGUUACCUCACUACCAUAUUCCUGUCAACAGCAUUACCUCACUACCAUAUUCCUCAGGAGUGUUACCUCACUACCAUAUUCCUGUCAGCAGCAUUACCUCACUACCAUAUUCCUGUCAGCAGUGUUACCUCACUACCAUAUUCCUCAGGAGUGUUACCUCACUACCAUAUUUCUGUCAGCAGCAUUACCUCACUACCAUAUUCCUGUCAGCAGUGUUACCUCACUACCAUAUUCCUGUCAGCAGUGUUACCUCACUACCAUAUUCCUGUCAGCAGCAUUACCUCACUACCAUAUUCCUCAGGAGCGUUACCUCACUACCAUAUUCCUGUCAGCAGCGUUACCUCACUACCAUAUUCCUCAGCAGCGUUACCUCACUACCAUAUUCCAGUCAGCAGCGUUAUUUCGCUACCAUAUUCCUCAGCAGUGUUACCUCACUACCAUAUUCCUGUCAGCAGCAUUACCUCACUACCAUAUUCCUGUCAGCAGCGUUACCUCACUACCAUAUUCCUGUCAACAGCAUUACCUCACUACCAUAUUCCUCAGGAGUGUUACCUCACUACCAUAUUCCUGUCAGCAGCAUUACCUCACUACCAUAUUCCUGUCAGCAGUGUUACCUCACUACCAUAUUCCUGUCAGCAGCGCUACCUCACUACCAUAUCUCUGUCAGCAGCAUUACCUCACUACCAUAUUCCUGUCAGCAGUGUUACCUCACUACCAUAUUCCUGUCAGCAGUGUUACCUCACUACCAUAUUCCUGUCAGCAGCGCUACCUCACUACCAUAUUCCUGUCAGCGGCGUUACCUCACUACCAUAUUCCUCAGGAGUGUUACCUCACUACCAUAUUCCUGUCGGCAGCGUUACCUCACUACCAUAUUCCUCACUACUGUUCUUCUCAAUAGUAUUACCCUGUACAAUUCCUCUCAGUACCCGCCACUACCAUUCUUCUCACUUACAUACCUCUUGGUAUUGUCAGCCUUGCUACUGUUUGUCUUCAUAGUAUUUCACUACCAUUAAUCUCCGUUGUGUUACCUCAUUACUGUUCCUCUCAGCAGUGUUACUUUUUGUACUGUUCCUCUUAUGUGCUUUCUUCAUGCUAUUUCAGGGAAGAGCAAUCUUACCCUCACUAUCGCUCCUCUAGAAUCAUCACUCUAGAGUCACAAAUGAAAUGUUCUGUAAAUAAAACAACAUUUUUAUAAAUAAAAUGCA